CGAAAGCCUGACGGAGCAACGCCGCGUGAGGGAGGAAGGCCCUUGGGUUGUAAACCUCUUUUGAUGGGGAAGAAUUCUGACGGUACCCAUCGAAUCAGCAUCGGCUAACUCCGUGCCAGCAGCCGCGGUAAUACGGAGGAUGCAAGCGUUAUCCGGAAUUAUUGGGCGUAAAGCGUCCGCAGGUGGCUUUUCAAGUCGGCUGUCAAAGCAUGGAGCUUAACUCCAUAGAGGCGGUGGAAACUGAAAGGCUAGAGGCCGGUAGGGGUAGUGGGAAUUCCCAGUGUAGCGGUGAAAUGCGUAGAGAUUGGGAAGAACAUCGGUGGCGAAAGCGCACUACUGGGCAGGACCUGACACUGAGGGACGAAAGCUAGGGGAGCGAAAGGGAUUAGAUACCCCUGUAGUCCUAGCCGUAAACGAUGGAGACUAGGCGUAGCUUGUAUCGACCCGAGCUGUGCCGAAGCUAACGCGUUAAGUCUCCCGCCUGGGGAGUACGCACGCAAGUGUGAAACUCAAAGGAAUUGACGGGGGCCCGCACAAGCGGUGGAGUAUGUGGUUUAAUUCGAUGCAACGCGAAGAACCUUACCAGGGCUUGACAUCUGUAGAACCUGAGUGAAAGCUUGGGGUGCCUUCGGGAGCUACAAGACAGGUGGUGCAUGGCUGUCGUCAGCUCGUGUCGUGAGAUGUUGGGUUAAGUCCCGCAACGAGCGCAACCCUCGUUCUUAGUUGCCAGCAUUAAGUUGGGCACUCUAGGGAGUCUGCCGGUGACAAACCGGAGGAAGGUGGGGAUGACGUCAAGUCAGCAUGCCCCUUACGUCCUGGGCAACACACGUACUACAAUGGUCGAGACAGAGGGCAGCGACCUCGCAAGAGCAAGCGAAUCUCAUCAAACUCGGCCUCAGUUCAGAUUGCAGGCUGCAACUCGCCUGCAUGAAGGAGGAAUCGCUAGUAAUCGCCGGUCAGCAUACGGCGGUGAAUUCGUUCCCGGGCCUUGUACACACCGCCCGUCACACCAUGGGAGCUGGCCACGCCCGAAGUCGUUACCCUAACCCCGAAAGGGGAGGGGGAUGCCGAAGGCAGGGCUAGUGACUGGGGUGAAGUCGUAACAAGGUAGCCGUACCGGAAGGUGUGGCUGGAUCACCUCCUUU
RNAcentral lists this ribosomal RNA (1145 nucleotides) under Gloeothece aequatorialis. RNAcentral describes it as "16S ribosomal RNA". It matches the Rfam family "Bacterial small subunit ribosomal RNA", at positions 376 to 1533 of the family's 1533-position model. The record is from RNAcentral. Lineage: Bacteria; Bacillati; Cyanobacteriota; Cyanophyceae; Chroococcales; Aphanothecaceae.